This 1059-nucleotide long non-coding RNA is filed under the name Felis catus (domestic cat). RNAcentral's name for it is "lncRNA (ENSFCAG00000053709.1)". The record is from RNAcentral. Lineage: Eukaryota; Metazoa; Chordata; Mammalia; Carnivora; Felidae.
CCAAGGUACAGAUGGACAGCUAGGGAGAGGCAGGAGGGCUGGACAACCAUCUUCCCCUACCAGAGGCCAAGGUAGGCCAACUUGGUGCCCCAGAUGUGAAGAAGAAAGCCCCAGGGGUGUGGGCUGUAGUACAGGUGAGGGUGUACAUAUGUGUAUGUGUUCCUAUGUGUGAGUUAGGGGCUCCUCUGCAUGCAGGAUGCGUGUGCAAAUGCACAGGUUUGUACACAUGCUCUUGGGUACACAGAAGCGGAAAGGAUGUACGGUGGGUGUAGGGAGAAUUUGAGCUUCUGGUUGGCAGAGUGGGAAGGAAGGAGGGCCUGAGGUAUAGGCAGGACCAUUUGGAUCUGAGUUCCCCUUUGGUUCUCCCUGCCAGGCACUGCUUCAAACAUUGUUGGGAUGUCAGGAAGGGAGGACAGGCCUCACCAGUGGUAUUUGCAGGGCAGGUAAUACUGAGAUGAUGAAUGCAGAGGCCUGGCCUUCAGGCAUGGGAUUAGAUGUGAGGAGAGGCAUAGAGAGAGCAGGAAACUUCUAACGGACAUGAGUUCUGGGAGCCAAUGGGUCCCAGACAACUCCAAGCCUGGAAGCUUUAGUUUUGACGUUAGCAAGGUCCCAUGCAUUCCUUUGGGAAUGCAGGAACUAAAGCAGCCUCUCCCACUCCUCCCAAAAGCCCAGGCUUGAAGUACUCAAGGAAUUGAUGGAGUCUGCUCAGGCUCAGAAGCACACUGAAUUUGCCCUGUCCAGAGGCUGUUUUCACAGACCACCACCAACACAACAGAAUGAUCAUUUGUUGAAGGACUAUUUUAUUUCCACCCUCAUGUUCAUCUUGCAAGGUAAGUAUUGCUAACCCCGUUUACAUGUGGGGAAAUUGAAGAUUAAAGACAGUGAGUAAGUUGUGUAGCUGACCUGCAAAAGGGGGCACCAGGAUGGCAAAACAGUCUGCCUGGCUUCAGAGUCUGGGCGGUUCCUGUUCCAGUAGCCUGGCUGAGACUGAAUGCAGCCUCCUGGGAACUUGUGAACGUGUCUGUGCAUCCCCUUGUCCUUUGGUUGAAUGAAUGAAUG